This 67-nucleotide transfer RNA is filed under the name Marmota monax (woodchuck). Its description in RNAcentral is "tRNA.Ala". The record is from RNAcentral. Lineage: Eukaryota; Metazoa; Chordata; Mammalia; Rodentia; Sciuridae.
GGAUUGUGGCUCAGCAGUAGAGUGCUCAUCUAGCAUGGGCGAGACCUGGGUUCGAUCCUCAGCACCA